ACAUGGGCUUACAUGGGACAUUCUGUUCAAUCUCAUGGAUAAAGAAAGUGAUAAAUUGGUCUAUGAGAAUAUGCUAUAUAAUCUCUGUCAACAUCCUCAUUGGCCCUCUUCAGCAAAGAUUACAAAUUUGGUGAACUUAAUAAAUAACUUGAUUGAAAGGCAUGCAAGUCUUAAGCUCGACUGUUAUAAUAUACUUGCUGCUAUCCAUUGUUUGCUUGGUA
This is a non-coding RNA of Carica papaya (papaya), 221 nucleotides long. NCBI's taxonomy places the organism in Eukaryota, Viridiplantae, Streptophyta, Magnoliopsida, Brassicales, Caricaceae. The record is from RefSeq and is a predicted model, not a curated record.